RNAcentral lists this transfer RNA (63 nucleotides) under Domecia hispida. RNAcentral's name for it is "tRNA-Lys". The record is from RNAcentral. Lineage: Eukaryota; Metazoa; Arthropoda; Malacostraca; Decapoda; Domeciidae.
CGUUAGGUGACUGAUUAAAGUAUAGGUCUUUUAAACCUAGUAUAGUAUAUUUACUUCUAAUGA